RNAcentral lists this long non-coding RNA (5048 nucleotides) under Callithrix jacchus (white-tufted-ear marmoset). RNAcentral's name for it is "lncRNA (ENSCJAG00000079291.1)". The record is from RNAcentral. Lineage: Eukaryota; Metazoa; Chordata; Mammalia; Primates; Cebidae.
AUGGCGGAUUGUUUACAUUUGGCAGCGCCCGGGCUGCGCCGACCGCCGGCCCCAAGCAGCCGCGGGCCCCGAGGAGUCGGCCGAGCUGCCCCCGCGCCCUGGCCGGAAAUUCUCCUUCCUCUGCCAUGUGAAGAAUGUGUUUGCUUCUCCAACUACCAUAAUUGUGCAAUUCAGAAUGUAAUAGAGAAGGAGACUCAACCCUCAAGGAAGUUGCAAUCUAAAGGCAAUCUGUCCUUCAAUGGCGAAAUGCUCUGCGAAUGUGAAGUACCUUCCCCACUCCUCUGCAGAGAGAAAUUGCCUUUUGCUUUGGUGCUAUGCAGUGAGAGUGAAGUCCCUGCCCUUAACUAUUAGCUUUAGAGAACAAUUUGAAGAAGAGGUAAGCCUUCAGAAUACUUUCCUAAUUUAAUAUAUCUAUUUAAGUUUCCAAAGACCAGGAUUCCUUUUUUUCACUUCUGUUUAUUUCCUGUGGAAGAACUGCAUUUACAUUCAGAAAGCUGACAGUUUACCAACUUCUGCCACAGCCACUGAUUCAGGGGUAAAAACUAAACCAGGAAUUUUUCAUUGAGGUAUUGGAUCCCGUGAGGUAGUCUAGAGAGAGACAAUAGGAAAUUUUCAUUGUUCUGUUGGACAUAAAUUCUCUAUGGUAUUUCAUUCUGUAAUGCUUGAGUUCUGGCCUCGGAGGAUCUGACAAGAUGUGAAGACAAGAUUUGUCAUUUUUCCUUCUCAUAGAGUCCUGAUAUUCUGUUGAUGGUUUCAAUUUCGAUUAUUCACAUGGCUUCUAGUGAUGUAAUACCUCUGAGCUCACAUCAUGCUUAUACAAGUUUGAGGAGUGUCUGCCACAUUUUACCAUUUUACAAGGGAGCUUCUGGUCACAGCUUGUUUGAGGGUAUUGCUUUUGGCCAGGAAGCAAAUAAAUAAGCAAAAGAGCCUCUCACUCCUUACUCCAUUUCAAUUGUUGUAACUAAAAACAAACAAACAAACAAACAAAAAACGAAUUUCAAAACUAUGAGCUUUAAAAAAAACACUGCCAGUUACAGAUGGUCACUUUUCAAACAGACACACAUACCUAAGUACACAUAUACAUACACUAAUGUGAUAAGGUAGUAUUCAUCACAAAUAAAUGAUACUGUCAUUUUAGUUUGUGACAUUGACUUAUAAAGUGUAAAGCUUGUAUUGUACAUUCCAUAGAUGACACAUUCUGAUACUGUAUUUGUGGAAGAGAGGCAGUAACACGAAAAUCUUGGGGUUGUUUCAUACAUUUUAAAAUAUCAACUAAUAAUUAUUUUAUACAGAUAUUUUGGCUCAGGCCGUAGUGCAUACUGUUUCUUUUUUGUACAUUGAAAUGCAAUAGGUUUUUACAAAGAAAGUGAAAGUAUAAGUGCUAACAAGAACUUGCCAUUUUGCAUGUGCAUUCUGUUGUAAGCUUUGGUUCUUUGGAAUAUAAGGUAGUGCUGCUAAAUAUUAAGAUAGUUCCUUUACUCUGUGUACUUAUCCAAUGAUAGAAACCGCAGCACUAAUUUUGUUGAGAUGUGUUUGUUUAAGUUCUGGAGGUUAACCCAGUGGCAAGUUCAUCCUUAUUUGAUAAUAAUGAAACAUAAGUUUUAUGUGUUUGCUUGAGUAAGAUUGCCAUCUGGUAAAUAAUAUGUUUUGUGAGUGUUUAUAACAAUCAUGGUUUAAGCCAAAAUUGACUUAUCAUGAUUGCUGCAAAUAACACUUGAGUGUCCUAACUGGUUUGAUUUUUUUUUCUUUGUUGAAUUGAGCAAAUGUAUUUUACGAAGCUUCCUGCAUUUAUUUUUAAAGUAUUUUGUGGGUUUUAAAGCUUGAGCUUUCAAAAGCAAUAAUUACAGCUGAUUACUAUCUCCAUAUAGUACUUCUCUAAAGGAGGAAAAAAGGAUUGUGUAGAUAGCAUCAUAAGUAUUAUAUAUGUGUAUGUAUAUAUAUGUGUGUGUGUGUGUGUGUGUGUAUAUAUAUGUAUAUAUAUAUAUAUUUAUACAUAUACAUACAGUUUUGCCUUCAACAAGUUUGAAGUUUAUUCCUUUAUAAAUUGAAGAACCCUAAACAUUUUUACCUUGGUAGAAUAGCAUAUUAGGAAAGUUCAGAUCAGCCAGGAGUAUCUUGGCAUAUUAUUUCUCAGGCAGUAAUAGCAUUAGAAGCAAUUGUGGAAAUGGUCUCUAACAUAUUAUCUUGCCUUAAAAAGGAGAAAUGUAUGAAAGUAAAAGAUUUUUGUUUUUUUUUCUCAGCCUAAGUAAAACCUGAGACUGCCUUUCUCCAUGCCACAUGUAAAACACCUUUUCUAGUUUCCACAGGAUUAAUUUUCAAUCAGUUCAAUUUGAAGACUUCAAGUGAUAUUCAAUGACUUCUUGAAAAUGUCAAUUAAAAUCUUAAACUGGUUGCUUUGCAUAUCAAAAGGAACUGAAGAAAAUGAGUAGUUUGGCUAGAAAUUUGGAAUGAGUUUAGAAAGGGUGUCUAUAGUUGGUUAGUUAUUUUUGGUUCGGAGACCAGGAGUUUGAUUCUUCAUGGCAAUCAAUUAUUGUUACUCUGUGCUAAGGUCAACAUUAUGGUUUUUGACUGUUGAUGACUCCUUUGCUUUGGGUGGUAUGAUCUGAAGGGAGACUGGAGAGGCUGAGCAUAGAACUGGGCCAACAAAAAGCCAUCUUCUGUUCUUUGAAAUGCUCUUCUUAUCUUUUUUUAUAUUUUGGAAGAUGAUCGUAUCUUCAUUAAAUGGUCUCCAUCUAUGUGUAUGGCAUAUGUAGAUACUUUCCUGAAUCCUGUCUUCAUCUCUCUCAUUUCUUAUUACUUCUUUUAGGACGUUUAUUUUCACUUAUGUGUUUAAUUUACACUUACAUAUGUAUGACUCCAAAUAUACUUUGCUGUCCCUUAGCUUUAGAUCUCUAGCCAUAAACAUGCCAGCAUUCUUGAUUACUGAUUAAUGGCUCCUUAAACAGUUUUUAGAGCUCAUUAUCAUUCCUCUUCUCUUUCUGCUCCUUCCACACUUGUGACUGCAUUCAUAUCCAUGACUGUGGACAUGCUGCUUAAAUACAAUAUUGAGUAAAAAUAUUAAAUCAGACAUGAUAGAGAAAUUAACCUAUGUUGUAUAGGAAUGCAUAAUUAGGUAGUAAAAGUAUAAAAGUAAGGAAGAAUGUGACUGGCAUAAUAGAAUAGUGGUUAUCCCAAUGGAAAGAGGGGCUCAUAAUAAGGAGGGUCACACAGGAGCCUUCUCUUGCUUGACCUGAAUGGGAUUAUAAUGGCUUCUUUUGAUUUGGAGACAGGGUCUUAUUCUCUCAUCUAGGCUGGAGUGCAGUGGUGUGAUAAUAGCUCAUUGCAGCCUUGACCACCCAGGCUCAAGUGAUCCUUUCACCUGAGCCUCCUGGGUAGCUGGACUCAUGGGCACAUAGCACAAUGCCUGGCUAAUUUUCUGAUUUUUUUGUAGAGAUGAGGUCUUACUAUGUUGUGGUUUAUUUUAUUACAUUUAAUUAAGCUGUAUAUUGAUGUUUUCUGCACAUUUCAGUAUGUUUGUUACAUUUCAAAAGUUUUAAAAGGAAGGAAAAAUGGGAAUAAUAUAUUUUGAGUUUCUUGAUGAGAUCACUUUUUCCUUGCACAUUGUAAAAAGAAUUUAAAGAUAAAUUUAUUAUUGUGUGAAAAGUAAUGCCUAAAAAUUUUCAAUAAUCAUCAAGAUCUUUAAGACCACUGAUACUGUUUGACUCUACAAUACCCCUUAAAAGCUCCAUUGUAAAGAAAUGAAACCAGAAGUAUACACAGAGAAAUAUGUAUUUGGAUAUUAUGGAUUAAAAAGCCAAAAAUUUUCCAAAACAGGAGGUUAAUUAAAUUUAGUAUGGCAUAUUCACAAAAUCAAAGACUUGAGUCCUUAUUCAUUAGCAGUCACACCCUAAUGUAUUUGAGUUUUAAAGUUUUUAAAAUGAAAUUUGUUUUUUUUAGUUUAUAUAUUUGAAAAUCACAGCUCAAAAUUACAAUGAUACAUUUUUCUGUAUCUGCUCUACCCAAUAGUUUGUGUUGUCUGAUAUCUACUGAUCUGACUUCUUUUUCCAGAGCCACAUGAGGAUUUCUGCUAGUUUUUAUGUUGGACAUUUUAGGCAUAUUCCAAAUAGAAGUAUGAAUUUCAGCACAAGAAAAGCCAUUAUUAGGAAAGGGAGUCACUUACAGUAUUUCAAAACAAACCUACCAUUUCUGCAGAGCUGAACAGUUUACUUAGCCAAUGAGGAUAUAAAUAUUUGCAUAUCUGAUAGAUUAACGCCAGCUCUAGAUUUAACACACAGUGCACAGCUGCUGUCGGCUGAUGAUUUUACUCCUGCAAACUCAAAUAUUAACUAAACCAAAUGAUAGAUUUUUAGCUUCUGUUAAUAGAAGUUUUACAAAGUGGCUUGACUACCUGAGAUAAAAGACAUUCAUGUUUUUCCAAGGUAAAUGUAAUUGCUUAUAAAAACUGCCUCAAAUUGUGGUAUUAAAAAAAGUUGGAUGUUAGAAGAGAUGUAUGUUAAAAGACAAUAUUUGAAAACUGGUAUAAUGUAACAAAUUGGGUGUUUACACCAUCUAGUUUUCCAUAACAUAAAAAUAAAUCCUGUCUACUUAUUCCAAAAGUCCUGUCAGGAUUUACUGUUAGAAAAUGUAACUUUCCUUAUAGCUUACAUUUUUCUGUAAAUUCAAUGCAUCUGAAAUGUGUUCAACUCUUUGAUAUACAGCAAAUCAGUGUUCUUUAUGUUACAGCAGAUUUUAAAACUGAUUUUUCAACUUUUAAAAAUUAUUGAUUUUGACACAAAUCUAUAUUAAAAAAAUACACCUUCUUGCUUGCUAGGUUAGCACCACCGUAAAAAAAAAAAAAAAAAAAAAAAAAGCACACAACAAAAGCCCAAAGUGAGGUCAUCCUUACAGAGAUCCCGAGAGAGGGGAGGGCUCAGAGCUGGCAUUAAAAAACAAUUUAUACCAUGUUGUCUUCACACUAAUAACCAUUCCCUGUAAAAGCUUCCCAGGAAUAAAUAUGCUGUGGUAAAAAGCUGAGUCAAUUUUACAUUUUCAAAGAUGAAACACUAUGU